Molecule: ribosomal RNA, 253 nt
Filed under: uncultured bacterium
Lineage: Bacteria
Description: partial 16S ribosomal RNA
Rfam family: Bacterial small subunit ribosomal RNA
Source: RNAcentral
UACGUAGGGUGCGAGCGUUAAUCGGAAUUACUGGGCGUAAAGCGUGCGCAGGCGGUGAUGUAAGACAGAUGUGAAAUCCCCGGGCUCAACCUGGGAACUGCAUUUGUGACUGCAUCGCUGGAGUACGGCAGAGGGGGAUGGAAUUCCGCGUGUAGCAGUGAAAUGCGUAGAUAUGCGGAGGAACACCGAUGGCGAAGGCAAUCCCCUGGGCCUGUACUGACGCUCAUGCACGAAAGCGUGGGGAGCAAACAGG